RNAcentral lists this ribosomal RNA (253 nucleotides) under uncultured bacterium. RNAcentral describes it as "partial 16S ribosomal RNA". It matches the Rfam family "Bacterial small subunit ribosomal RNA", at positions 524 to 776 of the family's 1533-position model. The record is from RNAcentral.
UACGUAGGGUGCGAGCGUUAAUCGGAAUUACUGGGCGUAAAGCGUGCGCAGGCGGCGCUGCAAGUCGAGUGUGAAAUCCCCGAGCUUAACUUGGGAAUUGCGCUCGAAACUACGGUGCUGGAGUGUGGCAGAGGGAGGUGGAAUUCCACGUGUAGCGGUGAAAUGCGUAGAGAUGUGGAGGAACACCGAUGGCGAAGGCAGCCUCCUGGGCCAACACUGACGCUCAUGCACGAAAGCGUGGGGAGCAAACAGG